RNAcentral lists this ribosomal RNA (425 nucleotides) under uncultured prokaryote. Its description in RNAcentral is "bacterial SSU rRNA". It matches the Rfam family "Bacterial small subunit ribosomal RNA", at positions 355 to 796 of the family's 1533-position model. The record is from RNAcentral.
UGGGGAAUCUUGCUCAAUGGGCGAAAGCCUGAAGCAGCGACGCCGCGUGUGGGAAGAAGGUCUUCGGAUUGUAAACCACUUUCAGGAGGGAAGAAAUUGACGGUACCUCCAAAAGAAGGACCGGCCAACUACGUGCCAGCAGCCGCGGUAAUACGUAGGGUCCUAGCGUUAUCCGGAAUCAUUGGGCGUAAAGAGCUCGUAGGCGGUUCAGCAAGUCGGCUGUGAAAGUCCGAGGCUCAACCUCGGAAUUGCAGUCGAUACUGCUGUGACUUGAAUUCGGUAGAGGAGAAUGGAAUUCCCGGUGUAGCGGUGAAAUGCGCAGAUAUCGGGAGGAACACCAGUAGCGAAGGCGGUUCUCUGGGCCGAUAUUGACGCUGAGGAGCGAAAGCGUGGGGAGCAAACAGGAUUAGAUACCCGCGUAGUCC